Molecule: ribosomal RNA, 253 nt
Filed under: uncultured bacterium
Lineage: Bacteria
Description: partial 16S ribosomal RNA
Rfam family: Bacterial small subunit ribosomal RNA
Source: RNAcentral
UACGUAGGGUGCAGGCGUUAAUCGGAAUUACUGGGCGUAAAGCGUGCGCAGGCGGUUUGCUAAGACAGGUGUGAAAUCCCCGGGCUUAACCUGGGAACUGCGCUUGUAACUGGCAAGCUAGAGUGUGGCAGAGGGGGGUGGAAUUCCACGUGUAGCAGUGAAAUGCGUAGAGAUGUGGAGGAAUACCGAUGGCGAAGGCAGCCCCCUGGGAUAACACUGACGCUCAUGCACGAAAGCGUGGGGAGCAAACAGG